This 452-nucleotide ribosomal RNA is filed under the name uncultured bacterium. RNAcentral describes it as "bacterial SSU rRNA". It matches the Rfam family "Bacterial small subunit ribosomal RNA", at positions 28 to 523 of the family's 1533-position model. The record is from RNAcentral.
GAUAAACGCUGGCGGCGUGCCUAACACAUGCAAGUCGAACGAUCCCGCAAGGGAGAGUGGCGGAAGGGUGAGUAACACGUGGGAAUCUACCUCCUCGCAGGGAACAACCUCUCGAAAGAGAGGCUAAUACCCAAAAGGGUCAGAAAUGAUCAGAGUCGAAAGGCGUGAGGAGAGGAGCCCGCGGCCCAUCAGCUAGUUGGUGAGGUAAUGGCUUACCAAGGCUACGACGGGUAGGGGAUCUGAGAGGAUGUCCCCCACACUGGAACUGAAACACGGUCCAGACGCCUACGGGUGGCAGCAGUGAGGAAUAUUGGACAAUGGGGCGAAAGCCCGAUCCAGCAACGCCGCGUGGAGGAUGAAGGCCUUGGGUCGUAAACUUCUUUAGAGGGUGACGAGAAAGGACGGUAUCCCUAGAAUAAGCGACGGCAAACUACGUGCCAGCAGCGCGGUAA